Molecule: small nuclear RNA, 78 nt
Organism: Cavia aperea (Brazilian guinea pig)
Lineage: Eukaryota; Metazoa; Chordata; Mammalia; Rodentia; Caviidae
Gene: U4
Rfam family: U4 spliceosomal RNA
About the family: U4 small nuclear RNA (U4 snRNA) is a component of the major U2-dependent spliceosome. The structure of U4 snRNA from yeast and human has been reported.
Source: Ensembl
AGCUUUGUGCAGUGGCAGUAUCGUAGCCAAUAAGGUUUAUCUGAGGUGCAGUUAUUGCUAAUUGAAAGAAGAGAUGUA